GAUUGAACGCUGGCGGCAUGCUUUACACAUGCAAGUCGAACGGUAACAGGCCUUCGGGUGCUGACGAGUGGCGAACGGGUGAGUAAUGCAUCGGAACGUACCCAGAGGUGGGGGAUAACGCAGCGAAAGCUGUGCUAAUACCGCAUGUGAUCUGAGGAUGAAAGCGGGGGACCGAGCAGCAAUGUUUGGCCUCGCGCCUUUGGAGCGGCCGAUGUCGGAUUAGCUAGUUGGUGGGGUAAAGGCCUACCAAGGCGACGAUCCGUAGCUGGUCUGAGAGGACGACCAGCCACACUGGGACUGAAGCACGGCCCAGACUCCUACGGGAGGCAGCAGUGGGGAAUUUUGGACAAUGGGCGCAAGCCUGAUCCAGCAAUGCCGCGUGCGGGAAGAAGGCCUUCGGGUUGUAAACCGCUUUUGGCAGGAACGAAACGGUGUCCGCUAAUACCGGGCGCUAAUGACGGUACCUGCAGAAUAAGCACCGGCUAACUACGUG
This 493-nucleotide ribosomal RNA is filed under the name uncultured bacterium. Its description in RNAcentral is "partial 16S ribosomal RNA". It matches the Rfam family "Bacterial small subunit ribosomal RNA", at positions 27 to 507 of the family's 1533-position model. The record is from RNAcentral.